RNAcentral lists this ribosomal RNA (253 nucleotides) under uncultured bacterium. RNAcentral's name for it is "partial 16S ribosomal RNA". It matches the Rfam family "Bacterial small subunit ribosomal RNA", at positions 524 to 776 of the family's 1533-position model. The record is from RNAcentral.
UACAGAGGGUGCGAGCGUUAAUCGGAAUUACUGGGCGUAAAGCGUGCGUAGACGGUAGCGUAAGUCAGAUGUGAAAGCCCCGGGCUCAACCUGGGAAUUGCAUUUGAGACUGCUCUGCUCGGGUGCGGAAGAGGGAAGCGGAAUUUCCGGUGUAGCGGUGAAAUGCGUAGAUAUCGGAAGGAACACCAGUGGCGAAGGCGGGUCUCUGGGCCGUUACUGACGCUGAGGAGCGAAAGCGUGGGGAGCGAACAGG